Odocoileus virginianus texanus is the source of this 1994-nucleotide non-coding RNA. Lineage: Eukaryota; Metazoa; Chordata; Mammalia; Artiodactyla; Cervidae. The record is from RefSeq and is a predicted model, not a curated record.
GUUGUGCGGGAGGGCGGUUUAUGGCGCUUCGCAAACAUUUACCAAGCUCUAAAGGAAUAGGGAGGGAAACAUCCACGGUUUCUUUACCCCUCGGGCUGGUUAGUCUUUGUCCUUCUGCCUAAAGUGGUGAAUAAAACAUCUGUGGUCCCUGCCUUUCUAGAAUCCUCCACAGAUAUUUAUUGAGCCCCUACUAUGGGCCAGGUAUGCUAAGAGCUGGGGAUGCGAUGAGGAAUUCUACAUUCCUGGCUUCUGUCUUAGAAGGUGAUAAAAUCUACAAGUAGCUAUAGAAUAUGCAAGGGAUGGGAGGUGGGCGGGGCUUUCUCGGUAUCAGGAGACUCUCAACAUCAGACUUUCAACAAUCUUCUCAGCCUCCUAAAGCUACCCCCCAAAAAUAACAGAAUUGUCAAGCUGAUGUUAUUUGUAAACGCCUUUCUUCCUAUGUAAAUAUUUCAUCUAGACAAGUCCAGCUUCUGCUCCUUCAAUCCCCUUCUCAGAGUUUUUAGUCCCUAAGCCUCCACUGUGAGCCACUUCUGUCUCAGUUAUAGUGUUAAAUCUAGGAGGUCACUAUAAGAAUGAAUGGCAUGCAAAACCAAUUAACUUAUACUGCUGUGCUGCCACGGUUCAAGCAAGAGGAAUUCUCUAUAACUUUCAGUAAAGAAUUUAGAAGAGAUGGACAGACAAGAGAUUUUCAAGGUAAAAGUGACUGGAUGUCCCUAGUACAGUGUGGGGAACAUACUAGAUACAUUUGUUGGAUGAAAAAAUGGUUGACGGAAUGGGGGAGAGAGCAGUUCAGACAGACGUUUGAUGGUGAGAGUGAAUGUAAAAGAAGCAGGCUUGAGGUGGCAGAAAUGCUGCAUUCACUUUGGACCUCAGAGGACUUGAAUUCUGGAGAACAGUCAGGAUUGGAGAGAUGUGGUAAUUAUCUAAAUAGAGCACUGAAGGCCUAAUUAUGUUUGAGAUAAUCAAGGGAAAGAAUAUAGAAAGAAAAAAGGUGGAAGAAAAAAGUACUGCAGAAUAACCCUCAACUGCCUCUCCUAAUUCUUCCUCUUCCCUCCUCCUCCUUCUCUCAGUCCCCCUUUAACUUUGUACUUCCUACCAGCUUUGCUUUUUUCUCCCAAGGAGUGUCCACCUCCCGUCAUCCUGGGCCAGCUUCCUUCUUCAAGUGCCCAGAUGUCAUCCUUAGCCAAGUCUGUGGUAUGUGCUAUAACCCUCUUGCACAUACAUAGGGGUGAUCACAAGCUUCCCCUCCUCCUCUGUGACCACUCAAUCAAACAUUUUGAGUUGGAGCCAUUUAACUGAAGAGACGUGAAAGGCACGUUCCAGAGUAGCACCCAAUGUAAAUCUCGCUUCUCCAGAUAUUUCCUCCAGCUUUCUCAGAACUCCUGGCUGGUUCUCCUUUUAUCCUUCUUGUAAGUUUAUAAGGGUGGUAGUAUAACCACACAAAAUAUCAGAGGCAUUAAGAGACUCUCAAGGUUAUAGAGCCUAAAGCACCUUUGUCCAGCUUUUCCUCAAGGCCCUGAGGUCAGAGAAACUUCUGUUUAAAUCCCAACUCUACUUUCCAAUCCGCCCAACAGCUCUGGGAGCUUUGGCAAGUUCUGUUGUCUCUUUCAGCUUCUGCAUUUGAGAACAUUAAUUAAUUACCAGGCAGGACCCUUAGAAGGUUUUUAAUGAAAAGAUACAAGGACAGUGCCCAGCAUAAAUUGAUAGCUUUUGCUACACUUUAUGCUGUUUUCUCAAUCUUGGCAAGCAAUGAAAUAAAAGAAACAAGUUUUGUGAUUUUUUUUUUCUUUUUUGCAAAUAUUGACUGAGGGGAAACAACUUGCUUGAAUUCAGAAAAUCAGAAAGCCACCUCCAAUGCUGAAGUUGAUGUUUCUGAACUUCUGGCUCUUAACCUGGGCUUUAGACUUCAGAUAAGUUCCUCUUAGAAGUGAGAUUGCUGAGUCUAAAGGACGUCAUUGACUUAACUAGAGAAACCAGACCAAGGGCAAAGGAUC